This 507-nucleotide unclassified non-coding RNA is filed under the name Hevea brasiliensis (rubber tree). Lineage: Eukaryota; Viridiplantae; Streptophyta; Magnoliopsida; Malpighiales; Euphorbiaceae. The record is from RNAcentral.
GUUGUACGUAGCUUGAGAACCAGCCCUAUUCAUUCGAAAGACCGUACCUCUAUAGAUGACUUCGAGAUAAUAAAGCCAAUUAGUCGUGGGGCAUUUGGCCGUGUUUUCUUGGCGAAAAAGAAAACCACCGGAGAUUUCUUUGCCAUUAAGGUUUUGAAGAAGGCAGAUAUGAUACGCAAAAAUGCCGUUGAGAGUAUAUUGGCGGAACGGGAUAUUUUAAUAUCAGUUCGCAAUCCCUUUGUGGUUCGCUUCUUUUACUCAUUUACUUGCCGCGAGAACUUGUACCUUGUGAUGGAAUACUUGAAUGGUGGGGACCUGUAUUCAUUGUUGAGAAAUCUUGGCUGCUUGGAUGAAGAUGUUGCUCGUGUUUAUGUCGCUGAAGUAGUGCUUGCUCUGGAAUAUCUGCACUCUUUGCGAGUGGUUCAUCGUGAUUUAAAGCCAGACAAUUUGUUAAUUGCUCAUGAUGGUCACAUCAAGUUGACGGACUUUGGGCUUUCUAAAGUCGGU